UGGGGAAUUUUGGACAAUGGGGGCAACCCUGAUCCAGCCAUGCCGCGUGUGUGAAGAAGGCCUUCGGGUUGUAAAGCACUUUCGGACGGAACGAAAUCGCGCGGGUGAACAUCCCGCGUGGAUGACGGUACCGUAAGAAGAAGCACCGGCUAACUACGUGCCAGCAGCCGCGGUAAUACGUAGGGUGCGAGCGUUAAUCGGAAUUACUGGGCGUAAAGUGUGCGCAGGCGGCCGAGCAAGUCGAGUGUGAAAUCCCCGAGCUUAACUUGGGAAUUGCGCUCGAAACUACUUGGCUNGAGUGUGGCAGAGGAAGGUGGAAUUCCACGUGUAGCGGUGAAAUGCGUAGAGAUGUGGAGGAACACCGAUGGCGAAGGCAGCCUUCUGGGCCAACACUGACGCUCAUGCACGAAAGCGUGGGGAGCAAACAGGAUUAGAUACCCUGGUAGUCCACGCCCUAAACGAUGAUGACUAGUUGUUGGAGGAGUUAAAUCCUUUAGUAACGCAGCUAACGCGUGAAGUCAUCCGCCUGGGGAGUACGGUCGCAAGAUUA
RNAcentral lists this ribosomal RNA (550 nucleotides) under uncultured bacterium. RNAcentral describes it as "bacterial SSU rRNA". It matches the Rfam family "Bacterial small subunit ribosomal RNA", at positions 355 to 896 of the family's 1533-position model. The record is from RNAcentral.